GAUCCUGGCUCAGGAUGAACGCUGGCGGCGUGCUUAACACAUGCAAGUCGAACGAAGCACUUUUGAUUGAUUUCUUCGGAUUGAUUUCUUAAGUGACUGAGUGGCGGACGGGUGAGUAACGCGUGGGUAACCUGCCUCAUACAGGGGGAUAACAGUUAGAAAUGACUGCUAAUACCGCAUAAGCGCACGAUACCGCAUGGUAUUGUGUGAAAAACUCCGGUGGUAUGAGAUGGACCCGCG
This 240-nucleotide ribosomal RNA is filed under the name uncultured bacterium. Its description in RNAcentral is "partial 16S ribosomal RNA". It matches the Rfam family "Bacterial small subunit ribosomal RNA", at positions 15 to 235 of the family's 1533-position model. The record is from RNAcentral.